RNAcentral lists this ribosomal RNA (745 nucleotides) under uncultured bacterium. RNAcentral's name for it is "bacterial SSU rRNA". It matches the Rfam family "Bacterial small subunit ribosomal RNA", at positions 8 to 747 of the family's 1533-position model. The record is from RNAcentral.
AGAGUUUGAUCCUGGCUCAGGAUGAACGCUAGCGGGAGGCUUAACACAUGCAAGUCGUGGGGCAGCACGGGGUAGCAAUACUCUGGUGGCGACCGGCGCACGGGUGAGUAACGCGUAUGCAACCUACCCUGUACAGGGGGAUAGCCCGGAGAAAUUCGGAUUAAUACCCCAUAAUGAUAUUUAGUGGCAUCACUGAAUAUUUAAAGCUUCGGCGGUACAGGAUGGGCAUGCGUAAGAUUAGCUAGUUGGUAGGGUAACGGCCUACCAAGGCUCCGAUCUUUAGGGGUCCUGAGAGGGUGAUCCCCCACACUGGUACUGAGACACGGACCAGACUCCUACGGGAGGCAGCAGUGAGGAAUAUUGGGCAAUGGGCGCAAGCCUGACCCAGCCAUGCCGCGUGAAGGAUGAAUGCCCUACGGGUUGUAAACUUCUUUUGUACGGGACGAAACUCUUGGUCGUGACCGAGAUUGACGGUACCGUGCGAAUAAGCAUCGGCUAACUCCGUGCCAGCAGCCGCGGUAAUACGGAGGAUGCGAGCGUUAUCCGGAUUCAUUGGGUUUAAAGGGUGCGUAGGCGGAAUAGUAAGUCAGUGGUGAAAGCCUGCGGCUUAACCGUAGAAUUGCCAUUGAUACUGUUAUUCUUGAGUAUAGUUGAAGUGGGCGGAAUGUGUAAUGUAGCGGUGAAAUGCUUAGAUAUUACACAGAACACCAAUUGCGAAGCAGCUCACUAAGCUGUUACUGACGCU